Molecule: ribosomal RNA, 253 nt
Filed under: uncultured bacterium
Lineage: Bacteria
Description: partial 16S ribosomal RNA
Rfam family: Bacterial small subunit ribosomal RNA
Source: RNAcentral
UACGAAGGGGGCUAGCGUUGCUCGGAAUCACUGGGCGUAAAGGGUGCGUAGGCGGGUUUUUAAGUCAGGGGUGAAAUCCUGGAGCUCAACUCCAGAACUGCCUUUGAUACUGAGGAUCUUGAGUUCGGGAGAGGUGAGUGGAACUGCGAGUGUAGAGGUGAAAUUCGUAGAUAUUCGCAAGAACACCAGUGGCGAAGGCGGCUCACUGGCCCGAUACUGACGCUGAGGCACGAAAGCGUGGGGAGCAAACGGG